This 314-nucleotide ribosomal RNA is filed under the name uncultured bacterium. RNAcentral's name for it is "partial 16S ribosomal RNA". It matches the Rfam family "Bacterial small subunit ribosomal RNA", at positions 499 to 809 of the family's 1533-position model. The record is from RNAcentral.
UUAUAAGAGACAGCAGCCGCCACGGUAAUACAGAGGGUGCGAGCGUUAAUCGGAUUUACUGGGCGUAAAGCGUGCGUAGGCGGCUUUUUAAGUCGGAUGUGAAAUCCCUGAGCUUAACUUAGGAGUUGCAUUCGAUACUGGGAAGCUAGAGUAUGGGAGAGGAUGGUAGAAUUCCAGGUGUAGCGGUGAAAUGCGUAGAGAUCUGGAGGAAUACCGAUGGCGAAGGCAGCCAUCUGGCCUAAUACUGACGCUGAGGUACGAAAGCAUGGGGAGCAAACAGGAUUAGAUACCCCCGUAGUCCCUGUCUCUUAUAA